UUUAUUUUUAUUUUUUAAUUCUGUUUUCGUUUUAUCUUUUGUUUGGUAUGUAUGGCUUUCACGCUUCACUGACUUGCUUUUGAUGAUUGAUUGUUGUGGUGUUUACACCAUUACUUGUUAAAUGGUAAGAUAUUAUGAUGUGAAAUACCUGUGGAUGCUUUUGGGAAAUUUGGGUUCAUUUGUGUCUGUUAUUUUGUAAUUUGUGAAACUCUAUUUGGAUGGUUGUGAUAGGUCUGGCUUGGUUGGAUUGGGUGACCUGACCCACCCCAUUUAAACCCAUAUGGGUGGUCCCGGUAGGGUAGGGUUCAACCCAAGAACAACCCAUUUACUUCAAUGGGCUAUAUUUUUAGGCCAAACCAGACCCACUACCCACUACACCGGAGUUUUGCUAAGACCAGCACGUCUAACGCUCUGUCCAUGUACACACCAACCACACAGCCAUUGUGGCACACAUAUACAAGAUCCUGACCCUUCAUCAGGUGGACAACAAGGAGUAGAUUCAUGAGCCAAAAAAUCUGGAGGAAUUCAUUUCACAUGGGCCACAUUUUAUAAAGCAAAUGAAUGGCAAAAAAAUUAUUUAUUUUUAUUUUCCACUCAGACCAUCUAUUUCAUAAACUGUGGCACACCUGAUGAGUAGACUGCCGCGAUUUUUGUGCCAAAAUAUCUUCAAAGACUGGCCCACCUGAUGAACUGCUUUGAUCUUGCUUGUGUCUGCCAUAUUGGCUCAUACACUGUGCAAAUGGGCGGCGGUGUAUAUGCCUGGGUUGGCUUAGCAAACCUCUUCCACACCCUUUUGGCCGAAACUAUUUGUUCAAAAUAUUUGAAAAGAACUAAAGAAUGCUGAUUUAAAUCCUUAUGGAUUAUACCCUGCUUCAUAUAUUGCAUCUGUAUUGAUCAAUUGCAUUACUUACAAGUCGGACUCGAGAGAAUUGUGAUGAAUAAGGGUCCACCUGUACUAUCCAUGGAAGAAAGCUGUGCCAGCUGUGCCAAAGAGAUACAAGAACCUCCUCAGCUCAACAUUGAGCCUGCACUUCAACCACCUGUGCCAGCUGCAGACACUGGAGAUUUGUUGGGAUUGAAUGAGAUUAAUCCUGAUACCGCUGUAAUUGAGGAAAGCAAUGCAAUGGCUCUUGCCAUAGUACCACCUGUAAAUGGUGAAGGGUCACUACACCAAAAUCGCACAUCUAUUGGAUUUGAUGAAUUGGUAAACAGUACACAGACUGCUGAAAUUCCAAUUUUGUUGAUUUUUCCUUUUUUCCAAAGGUUGGACUUGGUCUAACAUUUCAGAAUGCACUAUGCCCAUUUGCUUUUAUAUGCAGAAAUGAGGUUGAUCAAAGACUAUAACUUCUGGAGUUGCUUAUCUUCUUAGGCUGAGUGCAAUCGGUACUUAUGUGUCUGGUUCAAUCUUCCCUCAAAGUGAGCUUGUAGAAAUUGAUGUGCACACACAUCUGCAAAUUGAAAAAAUAACAUGUGUUACAGUUACAUCGGGAUGCCUAGUGAUUGGGCAGCAUGAUGGGUCAAUUUGCUGCUUCCAACUUGGCUUACUUGACCAGAGUGCACCAGCAAAUGAAUUAGCUGUGAUCAUUUGUUAGAUCUAGAUAUUCAUAGGAGUUUCUGCUUCGCUCCUUUAACAUGAUUGAAGGCAGUCUUUAGAAAAUGUGAUAGGUGGGGUUGUGGACAAUGCUUGAGUAUGUGAAGCUGGCUUGAAAGCAGUUCAAUCUGGACUUGCAUAGUUUCAGUGAUUCAACUGUUGUCUUGAACUACUUUAUCUGAACUCUACUGCUUCUUCUGCCAACAAGAUUAUGCAUGUCUUUUGUCAUUUCCUGUGGAACUGUUCCUAGUGAUCAUUUUUGUGCAGGCUGAAGAGGAUGAGUGUUAUAUCUUUAUAUCAUCAAUGCUCAG
Magnolia sinica is the source of this 1902-nucleotide RNA transcript. It is a transcript of the gene named putative clathrin assembly protein At5g57200, with no coding region annotated. Lineage: Eukaryota; Viridiplantae; Streptophyta; Magnoliopsida; Magnoliales; Magnoliaceae. The transcript is spliced from 5 exons. The record is from RefSeq and is a predicted model, not a curated record.